AUUGAACGCUGGCGGCAGGCCUAACACAUGCAAGUCGAGCGGAUGAAGGGAGCUUGCUCCUGGAUUCAGCGGCGGACGGGUGAGUAAUGCCUAGGAAUCUGCCUGGUAGUGGGGGAUAACGUCCGGAAACGGGCGCUAAUACCGCAUACGUCCUGAGGGAGAAAGUGGGAGAUCUUCGGACCUCACGCUAUCAGAUGAGCCUAGGUCGGAUUAGCUAGUUGGUGGGGUAAAGGCCUACCAAGGCGACGAUCCGUAACUGGUCUGAGAGGAUGAUCAGUCACACUGGAACUGAGACACGGUCCAGACUCCUACGGGAGGCAGCAGUGGGGAAUAUUGGACAAUGGGCGAAAGCCUGAUCCAGCCAUGCCGCGUGUGAAGAAGGUCUUCGGAUUGUAAAGCACUUUAAGUUGGGAGGAAGGGCAGUAAGUUAAUACCUUGCUGUUUUGACGUUACCAACAGAAUAAGCACCGGCUAACUUCGUG
RNAcentral lists this ribosomal RNA (482 nucleotides) under uncultured bacterium. RNAcentral's name for it is "partial 16S ribosomal RNA". It matches the Rfam family "Bacterial small subunit ribosomal RNA", at positions 30 to 507 of the family's 1533-position model. The record is from RNAcentral.